Molecule: ribosomal RNA, 324 nt
Filed under: uncultured eukaryote
Lineage: Eukaryota
Description: partial 18S ribosomal RNA
Rfam family: Eukaryotic small subunit ribosomal RNA
Source: RNAcentral
CCCUUAGAUGUCCUGGGCUGCACGCGCGCUACACUGAUGUGUCCAGUAAGCACCUAACCUCUUCCGAAAGGAACGGGUGACCUUUGCAAAGCACAUCGUGAUGGGGAUAGAUUAUUGCAAUUAUUAGUCUUGAACGAGGAGUUCCUAGUAAGCACAAGUCAUCAGCUUGUGUUGAUUACGUCCCUGCCCUUUGUACACACCGCCCGUCGCUCCUACCGAUUGAAUGUUCCGGUGAGCUCUUCGGACUGCGCGGUCUGCAGUUUCUGCGUUCCGUGCGGAAAGUUGCGCAAACCUUAACAUUUAGAGGAAGGAGAAGUCGUAACA